AGAGUUUGAUCCUGGCUCAGUUGAACGCUGGCGGCAGGCCUAACACAUGCAAGUCGAGCGGUAGCACAGAGAGCUUGCUCUCGGGUGACGAGCGGCGGACGGGUGAGUAAUGUCUGGGAAACUGCCUGAUGGAGGGGGAUAACUACUGGAAACGGUAGCUAAUACCGCAUAACGUCGCAAGACCAAAGUGGGGGACCUUCGGGCCUCACGCCAUCAGAUGUGCCCAGAUGGGAUUAGCUGGUAGGUGGGGUAACGGCUCACCUAGGCGACGAUCCCUAGCUGGUCUGAGAGGAUGACCAGCCACACUGGAACUGAGACACGGUCCAGACUCCUACGGGAGGCAGCAGUGGGGAAUAUUGCACAAUGGGCGCAAGCCUGAUGCAGCCAUGCCGCGUGUGUGAAGAAGGCCUUCGGGUUGUAAAGCACUUUCAGCGGGGAGGAAGGCGGUGAGGUUAAUAACCUCACCGAUUGACGUUACCCGCAGAAGAAGCACCGGCUAACUCCGUGCCAGCAGCCGCGGUAAUACGGAGGGUGCAAGCGUUAAUCGGAAUUACUGGGCGUAAAGCGCAC
This 570-nucleotide ribosomal RNA is filed under the name uncultured Klebsiella sp. Its description in RNAcentral is "bacterial SSU rRNA". It matches the Rfam family "Bacterial small subunit ribosomal RNA", at positions 8 to 570 of the family's 1533-position model. The record is from RNAcentral. Lineage: Bacteria; Pseudomonadati; Pseudomonadota; Gammaproteobacteria; Enterobacterales; Enterobacteriaceae.